GACGGAGGAUGCAAGUGUUAUCCGGAAUCAUUGGGCGUAAAGCGCGUGUAGGCGGCCCGAUAAGUCCGCUGUGAAAGUCCAGGGCUCAACCCUGGGAUGCCGGUGGAUACUGUCGGGCUCGAGUCCGGAAGAGGCGAGUGGAAUUCCUGGUGUAGCGGUGAAAUGCGCAGAUAUCAGGAGGAACACCAAUGGCGAAGGCAGCUCGCCGGGACGUGACUGACGCUGAGACGCGAAAGCGUGGGGAGCAAACAGG
RNAcentral lists this ribosomal RNA (253 nucleotides) under uncultured bacterium. RNAcentral describes it as "partial 16S ribosomal RNA". It matches the Rfam family "Bacterial small subunit ribosomal RNA", at positions 524 to 776 of the family's 1533-position model. The record is from RNAcentral.